GCGCGGUGGUCCCACCUGACCCCAUGCCGAACUCAGAAGUGAAACGCCGUAGCGCCGAUGGUAGUGUGGGGUCUCCCCAUGCGAGAGUAGGGAACUGCCAGACA
This 104-nucleotide ribosomal RNA is filed under the name Escherichia coli HVH 175 (4-3405184). The record is from RNAcentral. Lineage: Bacteria; Pseudomonadati; Pseudomonadota; Gammaproteobacteria; Enterobacterales; Enterobacteriaceae. RNAcentral also lists the same sequence under 1 other name.